This 158-nucleotide unclassified non-coding RNA is filed under the name fungal sp. RNAcentral's name for it is "partial internal transcribed spacer region". The stretch from base 1 to 46 matches the Rfam family "Eukaryotic small subunit ribosomal RNA", at positions 1786 to 1831 of the family's 1831-position model. The record is from RNAcentral. Lineage: Eukaryota; Fungi.
AAGUCGUAACAAGGUUUCCGUAGGUGAACCUGCGGAAGGAUCAUUAACACGUAUCCAACGUUAAAACCCCCCGUGAACCUUCAUUAUGCUGGUUGUGCGCCAUCGUAUCGUAGCAAUCCCUGGUAAAUCAUCGCCGAACAAUGGAUAUCUUGGUUCUC